GACGUAGGGGGCCAGCGUUGUUCGGAAUUACUGGGUGUAAAGGGUUCGUAGGCGGUGUGGCAAGUCGGGAGUGAAAUCUCUGGGCUCAACUCAGAGACUGCUUCCGAAACUGCUGUGCUGGAGUGUGGGAGAGGCGCGUGGAAUUGCAGGUGUAGCGGUGAAAUGCGUAGAUAUCUGCAGGAACACCCGUGGCGAAAGCGGCGCGCUGGACCACUACUGACGCUGAGACGCGAAAGCGUGGGGAGCGAACAGG
Molecule: ribosomal RNA, 253 nt
Filed under: uncultured bacterium
Lineage: Bacteria
Description: partial 16S ribosomal RNA
Rfam family: Bacterial small subunit ribosomal RNA
Source: RNAcentral